ACUACCAACAAGAUUAUCAGUAUUGAUAUUAUUGUUUUUGACGGUCAGUCUCAUUCUGCUGAAGCUAGACAUUCGCUCGAAAGCCUUACUAACCAAAGGAUUCUCGGAAGCUGAUGCAGGAUUAGUAGGUAUUGACUCCACAAAUGUCCACAAAGCAGAGGAGAACCAACCAGUAGUACCAUCAUCCUCUCCACCACUUUGAUUUUCAUUAGCUCCGGUAGGAUUAUUGGAAGAUUCAUAUGUGACACCUGGAGUUGGUUGAGAAAGAGUCCCAUGAAUUGUUUCUCUAGUAUGGACAUCGCUUCUCUGAUCAUCCACCCAUAGCUGAGCUGCACCAAAUGCUAGUGGCUGCAAGUAAUCCACAUUAUUUACUG
This 374-nucleotide unclassified non-coding RNA is filed under the name Hevea brasiliensis (rubber tree). Lineage: Eukaryota; Viridiplantae; Streptophyta; Magnoliopsida; Malpighiales; Euphorbiaceae. The record is from RNAcentral.